AAAUUGAAGAGUUUGAUCAUGGCUCAGAUUGAACGCUGGCGGCAGGCCUAACACAUGCAAGUCGAACGGUAACAGGAAGCAGCUUGCUGCUUCGCUGACGAGUGGCGGACGGGUGAGUAAUGUCUGGGAAACUGCCUGAUGGAGGGGGAUAACUACUGGAAACGGUAGCUAAUACCGCAUAACGUCGCAAGACCAAAGAGGGGGACCUUCGGGCCUCUUGCCAUCGGAUGUGCCCAGAUGGGAUUAGCUAGUAGGUGGGGUAACGGCUCACCUAGGCGACGAUCCCUAGCUGGUCUGAGAGGAUGACCAGCCACACUGGAACUGAGACACGGUCCAGACUCCUACGGGAGGCAGCAGUGGGGAAUAUUGCACAAUGGGCGC
Molecule: ribosomal RNA, 381 nt
Filed under: Escherichia coli
Lineage: Bacteria; Pseudomonadati; Pseudomonadota; Gammaproteobacteria; Enterobacterales; Enterobacteriaceae
Description: bacterial SSU rRNA
Rfam family: Bacterial small subunit ribosomal RNA
Source: RNAcentral